AAGAUUUCAACUGAGGCAGAGGGUUACCAUGCGGUCUUGGCAUCUGACAGCCUCAAAGAUGUUGAAAAGAUUUCAACUGAGGCAGAGGGUUACCAUGCGGUCUUGGCAUCUGACAGCCUCAAAGAUGUUGAAAAGAGGAUCAUCAUGGUACCGUGAUAAUCUGACAGCUUUAAAGAUGUUGAAAAGUGUCUCCUGGAAAUUGCCCUGAGAGACAGGAUCAACCAAUGCAACAGAAAAGGCAGUGGUCCCCAAAAGAGGUUGCAGCUAUGAUGAGACAUUUUUAAAAAGCACAGUGCC
Long non-coding RNA from Perca fluviatilis (European perch), 297 nucleotides. RefSeq lists it as uncharacterized. The record is from RefSeq and is a predicted model, not a curated record. The transcript is spliced from 4 exons. NCBI's taxonomy places the organism in Eukaryota, Metazoa, Chordata, Actinopteri, Perciformes, Percidae.